RNAcentral lists this ribosomal RNA (1407 nucleotides) under metagenome. RNAcentral describes it as "bacterial LSU rRNA". It matches the Rfam family "Bacterial large subunit ribosomal RNA", at positions 1502 to 2925 of the family's 2925-position model. The record is from RNAcentral.
AAAUACCGGUACAAACGGAAGAGGUGUCAGGCUGGCAAAUCCGCCUGGCAAGCCAAAGACGUGAUGUGGAGCGAAAUAAAAGUAGCGAAGUAUGUGAGCCAUGUGCCGAGAAAAGCCGCUAUUGUUUUAUAUGUGCCCGUACCGUAAACCGACGCAGGUGGAUGAGGAGAGAAUCCUAAGGCCGACGGAAGAAGCAUUGUUAAGGAACUCGGCAAAAUGACCCCGUAACUUCGGGAGAAGGGGUGCCCACUUCAGGGUGGGCCGCAGAGAAUAGGCUCAAGCAACUGUUUAGCAAAAACACAGGUCUAUGCGAAACCGUAAGGUGAAGUAUAUGGGCUGACGCCUGCCCGGUGCUGGAAGGUUAAGAGGAGAGGUUAGUCGCAAGAUGAAGCUUUGAAUUUAAGCCCCAGUAAACGGCGGCCGUAACAAUAACGGUCCUAAGGUAGCGAAAUUCCUUGUCGGGUAAGUUCCGACCCGCACGAAAGGCGUAAUGAUUUGAGCACUGUCUCGACAAUGCAUCCGGUGAAAUUGAAGUACCAGUGAAGAUGCUGGUUACCCGCGCCAGGACGGAAAGACCCCAUGGAGCUUUACUCCAGUUUGGUACUGGGAUUCGGUACUGCAUGUACAGGAUAGGUGGGAGACUGAGAAAUUGGAACGCCAGUUUCAAUGGAGUCACUGUUGGGAUACCACCCCUGCAGUAUUGGGUUUCUAACCAGCCGCUGUGAUCCAGCGGUGGGACAAUGCCAGGCGGGGAGUUUGACUGGGGCGGUCGCCUCCGAAAGGGUAUCGGAGGCGCUCAAAGGUUCCCUCAGAAUGGUCGGAAACCAUUUGAAGAGUGCAAAGGCAGAAGGGAGCUUGACUGCGACACCGACGGGUGGAGCAGGUACGAAAGUAGGACUUAGUGAUCCGGUGGCAUAAAGUGGGAUUGCCAUCGCUCAACGGAUAAAAGCUACCCUGGGAUAACAGGCUUAUCACUCCCAAGAGUUCACAUCGACGGAGUGGUUUGGCACCUCGAUGUCGGCUCAUCACAUCCUGGGGCUGUAGCAGGUCCCAAGGGUUGGGCUGUUCGCCCAUUAAAGCGGUACGCGAGCUGGGUUCAGAACGUCGUGAGACAGUUCGGUCCCUAUCCGGCGCGGGCGGAGGAUAUUUGAGAGGAGCUGUCCUUAGUACGAGAGGACCGGGAUGGACGGACCACUGGUGUAUCUGCUGUCGACCAACGGCAUGGCAGAGUAGCCAAGUCCGGAAGGGAUAAACGCUGAAGGCAUCUAAGCGUGAAGCCCCCCUCAAGAUGAGAUAUCCCUCACAUAAGUGAGUAAGAUCCCUUGAAGAGUACAAGGUAGAUAGGGCAGAGGUGGAAGCAUGGUAACAUGUGGAGCUGACUGUUACUAAUCGAUCGAGGGCUUGACC